CGGGACGGGUGAGUAAUGUCUGGGAAACUGCCUGAUGGAGGGGGGUAACUACUGGAAACGGUAGCUAAUACCGCAUAACGUCGCAAGACCAAAGAGGGGGACCUUCGGGCCUCUUGCCAUCGGAUGUGCCCAGAUGGGAUUAGCUAGUAGGUGGGGUAACGGCUCACCUAGGCGACGAUCCCUAGCUGGUCUGAGAGGAUGACAGCCACACUGGAACUGAGACACGGUCCAG
This 232-nucleotide ribosomal RNA is filed under the name uncultured bacterium. RNAcentral's name for it is "partial 16S ribosomal RNA". It matches the Rfam family "Bacterial small subunit ribosomal RNA", at positions 100 to 334 of the family's 1533-position model. The record is from RNAcentral.